Long non-coding RNA from Oncorhynchus gorbuscha (pink salmon), 550 nucleotides. RefSeq lists it as uncharacterized. Lineage: Eukaryota; Metazoa; Chordata; Actinopteri; Salmoniformes; Salmonidae. The record is from RefSeq and is a predicted model, not a curated record. The transcript has 3 exons.
GCUACAUUGUUACAAUCCUUCCUUCCAUUUCCUGCAACAUUCCGUUUUUAUGUUCUCUGAAAGGAAACGUUACUUCGUUUCAGCGUCUCGGAUAAUAUAUUAGCCUGUCUUCUAUAUUGACUGCUGGGACACGCGAGCUACUCCCGAACACAUAGCAGUCGUUUCCUUGGCUACUCCAAGCCUUCCACUCGGCUUUCUAUGCUUCACCUGUAGCCGAAGACUGCUCCAUUUUCUUAUUUCUGGCACAUUACUGAAAGGUAGAGCUGCUUCGUGGAAAACUAGAGAGCGAAAAGCGAGACCAGGGAGUGAAAGUCGUGACGUCUCACAAAGCAAGAAUUAAAGGAGCAGAUAUGAAGAGGGUCCGUGGCCAGGUACGGCUGGGUCGGUUCACCGGGACACGGAUGGGAGGCUGCUGAAAGAAGGCUGCGGUGAUGUGCAUGCUGCUGUUUUGGAAUCCUCGGCUUGGGAGCAAGAACCGCCUGACAACAUGACUGGGUUCAACCAGCAGAAUGUUGAGGAAUACUAUGAGAUGGGAGAUGAGCUGGGGAGG